RNAcentral lists this ribosomal RNA (486 nucleotides) under uncultured bacterium. Its description in RNAcentral is "partial 16S ribosomal RNA". It matches the Rfam family "Bacterial small subunit ribosomal RNA", at positions 30 to 507 of the family's 1533-position model. The record is from RNAcentral.
AUUGAACGCUGGCGGCAUGCCUUACACAUGCAAGUCGAACGGCAGCACGGGUGCUUGCACCUGGUGGCGAGUGGCGAACGGGUGAGUAAUACAUCGGAACAUGUCCUGUAGUGGGGGAUAGCCCGGCGAAAGCCGGAUUAAUACCGCAUACGAUCUACGGAUGAAAGCAGGGGACCCUCGGGCCUCGCGCUAUAGGGUUGGCCGAUGGCUGAUUAGCUAGUGGGUGGGGUAAAGGCCUACCAAGGCGACGAUCAGUAGCUGGUCUGAGAGGACGACCAGCCACACUGGGAGUGAGACACGGCCCAGACUCCUACGGGAGGCAGCAGUGGGGAAUUUUGGACAAUGGGCGAAAGCCUGAUCCAGCAAUGCCGCGUGUGUGAAGAAGGCCUUCGGGUUGUAAAGCACUUUUGUCCGGAAAGAAAUCCUUGGCCCUAAUACGGUCGGGGGAUGACGGUACCGGAAGAAUAAGCACCGGCUAACUACGUG